Molecule: long non-coding RNA, 1387 nt
Organism: Petromyzon marinus (sea lamprey)
Lineage: Eukaryota; Metazoa; Chordata; Hyperoartia; Petromyzontiformes; Petromyzontidae
Source: RefSeq, a predicted model, not a curated record
UUGGACACCACGAUGCCGUUGACUCCAUGUCGUACCGCCUCCUUCGCAUCCUCGGCUGCUCAGAACAAACAACAGCGGCAGCACCAAUAACCACGAUCCGCCACUAAGCGAAGGUGAUCGGGCAUGGAGAAGCGGUUGCGCUCGUCGGCAAGGCGCCGGCCGGGCCGCGGCGUGUCGACGGUGAGGAAGAUGGCGCCAUAGCCCUCGCGCUCCGCGCGCCGCACCAGCGCCUCAGUGGCGUCGCGGUCCCGGUACACGUAGAGCUGCAGCCAGCGCACAGGAGGGGGGGCGCCGCUGCUCGGGACGGCGGCCGCCACCUCCUCCACGCUCGCCGUCGCCCACGAGCUCAGCUGCAUGCCCGUGCCGAGCGCAGCGCACGCUGCAGGGACCGCGGAGACAAUGGAGCGGCGGUUAUCACGACGUCCCCCACAGUGCCCACUCUCAAGGGGCUCUGCCCACCCCCCCGGCCAGACGGUGUCCCUGGCACUACCAGGGCAGGAGCCCACCUGGGAGCGGGCGCUGUGGGUACGCCACAGAAAGGAAGGACCGAGUCGACAACCUCUGACCAGCAUCUGAAUUCGCAACCUUCUUGACCAGCAUCAGUAAUUGAUAUCAACAAUAACAAUGAUGAUUUAGAAUGUUUUUGCUCACUCUGAGGGAGAAUGAUCCAGGUGUGAGAAUCCACAGACAAGCUGAUCGGCAACCAGAAGCAGCACCAACAAUUGCCCAAGCACUGUGGUCCUGUAUUGGGAUGUUUACUUCUGUAUGUUGAACUUCUUUAGUAACAUAUUUAGCCAACUGUGCUAUCCAACCUACUCACGUGUAUUACUUGUAGGAGGAUACCAGCGUACGCGGGAAAAAAAAAACACGUGUGAGAGGGGUAACACCCCGUCACUGUACAAAUGGAAUACAGAUGGAAAUGAAUCUACUUGCUGUACUGCCACGACGAUGGCUGAAGCGAUGGCGAUGACGACAACGACCGGCAAUGCCUGCACGGGCGCUCACCACGCGCCGUCGCCAGCUCCCCGUCCGGGUGGGCCAUGCGCUGCAUCGCCGUCGGCGCCACGGCCACGGGGAAGCUGAGCGAGCGGCCCAGCACCGAGACGCGAGUGUCCACCGUGGUGACCCCACGCAGCACACGCGGCCGCAGCCGCCACCUGCGCGUCGGAUAGCGCGGGAGGUCGCGAGAUUUCAACUUCACUGCUGGUGUCAAAUUGCUGGUGUCAAAUUGCAAGCCUUUCCCUGCAAGCAGCGAGGAUGAGCGGCACUCCUCCACCUGGAGAAGGCCGCCACGUUGUCCCGGAGCGUGACCUCGCCGUCGGCCCCGGAGCGGUAGUAAUCGUAAACGGCGCGCGGAAGCUUUGCCCGCGCCGCCUCCUCGAAGUCG